RNAcentral lists this long non-coding RNA (475 nucleotides) under Homo sapiens (human). RNAcentral's name for it is "HSALNT0022170". The record is from RNAcentral. Lineage: Eukaryota; Metazoa; Chordata; Mammalia; Primates; Hominidae.
UCUUUUCUUCUGAGUAAUAGCAGGCACUCUCAGGCUGUCAGAUGAUAUGCCAACAGCCUCAUGCUGAGAAGAGAGAAAAAAUAAACAUAGAAGAACAGGGUGCAGAGUUCUGCAAACUGGUGGCCACACACAUGAGCCCAACACUAUGUGGGGACUUCCUAGGAGCUAUUCUAUGGACUGUGUGAGGCCUGCCUUCCUUCUGCUGUUGGAUCUCAGUUUUCUUUGCAUCUUCUGAGAAAGCAAGUUCCCAGGUGUUUCAACAGUGGGUCUCUGAAAUGCUGUACUCUAAAGGCAGGACUCACUUCAUGUACAGAACCUUUCUGCUGAGAGGAAAGAUUUAAAACUGUGCUCAUCUGAUUCAGAACAUAUAUGGGAUUCACCAGUAUGACGCCUCAACAAAUGGCCUCUUCACACAUGUCAACAGCAGGCUCUUUUCAUGGAAGAUACACGAAAUAAGUAAGUAAAUAGUAGAGGC